This 459-nucleotide ribosomal RNA is filed under the name Streptococcus sp. oral taxon 070. Its description in RNAcentral is "bacterial SSU rRNA". It matches the Rfam family "Bacterial small subunit ribosomal RNA", at positions 28 to 471 of the family's 1533-position model. Lineage: Bacteria; Bacillati; Bacillota; Bacilli; Lactobacillales; Streptococcaceae. The record is from RNAcentral.
GACGAACGCUGGCGGCGUGCCUAAUACAUGCAAGUAGAACGCUGAAGCUUGGUGCUUGCACCGAGCGGAUGAGUUGCGAACGGGUGAGUAACGCGUAGGUAACCUGCCUGGUAGCGGGGGAUAACUAUUGGAAACGAUAGCUAAUACCGCAUGAUAUUGAUUAUUGCAUGAUAGUCAAUUAAAAGGUGCAAUUGCAUCACUACCAGAUGGACCUGCGUAGUAUUAGCUAGUUGGUGAGGUAACGGCUCACCAAGGCAACGAUACAUAGCCGACCUGAGAGGGUGAUCGGCCACACUGGGACUGAGACACGGCCCAGACUCCUACGGGAGGCAGCAGUAGGGAAUCUUCGGCAAUGGACGGAAGUCUGACCGAGCAACGCCGCGUGAGUGAAGAAGGUUUUCGGAUCGUAAAGCUCUGUUGUAAGAGAAGAACGAGUGUGAGAGUGGAAAGUUCACACUG